AGCCUGACCGAGCGACGCCGCGUGCGGGAUGAAGGCUUUCGGGUUGUAAACCGCUGUCAGAGGGGAUGAAAUGUAGGUGGGUUCUCCCAUCUAUUUGACAUAGCCUCAGAGGAAGUACGGGCUAAGUUCGUGCCAGCAGCCGCGGUAAGACGAACCGUACGAACGUUAUUUGGAAUUACUGGGCUUAAAGGGUGCGUAGGCUGCGCAGAAAGUUGGGUGUGAAAUCCCUCGGCUUAACCGAGGAACUGCGCCCAAAACUACUGUGCUCGAGGGAGACAGAGGUGAGCGGAACUUAGGGUGGAGCGGUGAAAUGCGUUGAUAUCCUAAGGAACACCCGUGGCGAAAGCGGCUCACUGGGUCUCUUCUGACGCUGAGGCACGAAAGCUAGGGUAGCGAACGGGAUUAGAUACCCCGGUAGUCCUAGCUGUAAACGAUGAGCACUGGGUUGAAGGGCCCUCCAUAGCCUUUCAGCCGCAG
Molecule: ribosomal RNA, 477 nt
Filed under: uncultured Planctomycetota bacterium
Lineage: Bacteria; Pseudomonadati; Planctomycetota
Description: bacterial SSU rRNA
Rfam family: Bacterial small subunit ribosomal RNA
Source: RNAcentral